UCUUCUUUAAACCCUUGGACACACCUCCACCUCCAUGCAUCCCUUGGAUGCCCACUUUCAAUCCUCAUCAUUCAUUUCACAACUCUCCAUUACUAUAAAUACCACCAUCCCUUAUCUCUUUUUGCAUCAAACUUCUUACCCUAUUUUAUCACUAUCAUCGUAGCCUCCACAUCCCUCACUUCAUUGUCAUCACCAUUCACUUAUUUUCCAACCUUCCUUCUUUUACUUCCCGUUCUAUCUUUUUUUUUCUUUGUUUGGGGACAUACAAAUCCUCUAAGUUUAGUAUUAGUUUUGAUCUAGUGAGCUACAUAAAAUAUCAUGGCCCCUAAGAAAGCCUCUGCUUUAAAUAAAAGAAAGGGAAAGGAACCAAUGGCAGCUUUAUAUGAUUCCACAAGGUUCUUCUUCAGCUUUUAUGAAAAUCUCUUUUAUAUUGCUAUGUGUGGCAAGAAGAUUAUUUCUAAAGGACCUUUGCAUCUAAGAAGGAGGGAGUACCCUAAAAUCAUGGAUCAAAUUGGGAUGAGAAAGUGGCAAGUUCUAUGUGACCCUAUUCUAAGGGUGGGGCAAAUUUUGAUCCAAGAAUUCUAUGCUAAUGCAUCCCUCACCAAUGCACAAACACAUGAUGAAAGACCUCUAAACUACAAAAGCCUUGUGAAAGGCAAGGAAAUUGAUUUUAGCCCUGAGAGCAUCUGAAGGAUCCUUAGGUUGAGAAUAUCAACUUUAUCAUCAUCAGAAGUGACAUACACAGAGAGAAAAAAGCAUGAUCCAAGACUUUAUGAAGUGAUCCGAGAUCUUACCUUGCCGGGUGCACAAUGGAUCAUGGGAGCUUCGGGCAAGGCACUCCAUUGAGAAGGAGUGAGCUCAAGCCAAUUACAAGGGGUUGGAUGGAGUUUGUAUAUCGUUCAAUCUCACCCAUAAGUAACCGAUCUAAACUUACUGUUGCUAGAGCAAUCAUGAUUCACUGCAUCAUGAUCAGUCAAGAGGAAACCCAAUCACUAAGAAGACAAUGAAAAAGGUAAGAGCACAACCUCCUCAAGAGGCCCAAGAAGAAGAAGCCGAGGGAGUUCAAGAGGAAGAGCACGAGGAUUAAGAAGCUCACAAUCAGGGUGAACCACAGUCUUAGGUCCCUCCACAACAAGGAGUAGAGUGGCAAUAAAUGUAUUCCACAAUACAAGAACUUUUUGCACAACAAGCACAAUUCAUGAGAGAGUUCCAAGAGCAAAAAAUCUUGCAAGAAGUCCAUCACAAAGAAUUUCAAGAUUUCAGGGCCUUGUAGAGGGCAAAUCACAAAGAGUUCCAAGAAUACAAGGCACUCUACGAAGCUCGGUAUGACGCUGAAGAAUCUUGGCGACUUCACAUGCAUGCCAAGAUGAACUAAUAUACUUCGGCUCAAAAUGCAGCAUACCCAAACAUCACUCCAUAUGAAAAAAGUAUCCCACAUCUGUAGGAAGGAGGUUAAGAGGCUAAACAAGGAGUGUGCUGAGUGGAGGGAGAGAGAAAUAAAAGCCCGUGGCCUUUGGAACCCAAAAGGUAAAGCUAGUCAAUCGAAGGCAGGAAUUUGGGAACCAAGGGGAGCACAAGAAGAAGAUGAUGAUGAGGGAGGCAAUAAUGAUGAACAAGGUUAUCAAAUUCCCUUUUUACUUUUAUUACCCAUCUCUUUAUAUUUUUAUAAUUUGUUUGCCUUGCUUUAUGUUGUUGCAUUUGCUUUAAUUGUGUUGCCUUAUCCUUUGUUUUGUCCACCUAACUACUACUUGUACUUUCCUCCCAAGCACUCUAAUCAUAUGAAAGGAGAGUUGCUUAUAUGGAAGAAGGCUAAAUCCUAUUAACAAAGUCCAUUUAUGAAUAGUGGUGGUAUAUAUUUGUGAUUUUUAUGGACUGAGCCACAAAAUAAUGAUAUUGCAUAAAAGGAAAAGAUGAUUCCUUCUGAGCAUGAGUCUUAGAAAAAUAUUAUGAGAUCUAUGACGAAAAGAAAAUAUCCUUGAACUUGACUUGAAAAAGAAAGAAAAGAAAGAGAGAAAAGAAAUAGCAACCAACAGAACAAAGAAAGAAAAUCAAGAAAAUCAAAGGUUGCAAAACUCUGAGGAUCAAUGGUUAAAGAGCCCUACUAUGUGUCUGUGGUGUGAUUGUCCAAGGACAGGGCUCGAGUGAUUAGACCAAGGGGUGCUUUAUCAUCCGAUAACUUGAACCAACUAGUUCGCGAUUAUCGAUUAAAAACCCACCAUCAAGAGUUCCCUUGAGACAGAGCAUUUAGAAACCCAAAGCGAUUCUCGACAUCGAUGGCGGGAAAUUUAAAAUCUUUGACUAUAUGCUUGUGGUGUGAACGUAUCAAGGAGUGGCUCGGGUAAUUAAAUUCGAGGAAUGCCUCAUCACCCGGUCGGGUUACCGAUCGAAUUCCCACAAUCAAGAGUUUCCUUUAAAAUGGAGCAUUUAGAGUUGUCAACCUGAAAAGCUCUCUGAUGUGAAACAAGGAUUCAAGGAUCAAUCUAAAGCUUAGAAAAGGAUCUCAUAAUACUAUCCGAGUCUUAACUCUCAGGGAUCAUCUAUUCCUAGGAGUGCAAAACUCAUUGAAGAUAAAGAAAAUCCAAGAUGAUCACAGAGGUUGUUAAACCCCACUUCCUAGAAGGACAUGAACUUCAAAAAGAAUUUAACCUCACUUCAUUUAAUACAAUUCUGUUCCUUUCUAUUUUCUUUUGCUUGAGGACAAGCAAAGUAUUAAGUUUGGUGUCUGAAAUAAGGUUGUCUAGUAGCUUAAAGCACGAGAAUGUUAGACCAGGAUGACUUCACCAACAGGCUUAAGUAGAACUUGUCUACUACCCGAAUUUCUACCCCUGAAUUCACUUUCAGGCUUUCUACUUGAUAAUGAUAAACGUUGUCUUUUUAUUUAAAGAUCAUACAGGGCAAGCAAGAUAUUUAUUUUGGGCUCCAAUGUGAUCAAUAUUAAGCAAGUUAGCUAAUUGAGUACGAGCAGAGGCAGAGGUAUUAUGGUGAAGAACACAACAGACUUGUUGAGAUUCACCUUUUGACCAUUGCCGCUUUCAUAAAUAUUCAAUAAACUCAAGACAUUUUCACAAACCUCAAAAUUAGCUUUGCAGAAUAGGAUCGAGUCAUCAGCAAAGAGAAUGUAGUUAACCUUAGAACAACACCUAUGAAUCUGGAUACCUUAGAUCGGGCUACUUUGUUCUACCUUGUGUAGCAAGAAGAAGACCUCUACACAAAAUAAAAAGAGAUAUGAAAAUAGAGGAUUUCUUUGACAAAUUUUUUUAUUUGGUCUAAAAAAAAUCAAAGAGUUAACCUUCCAUAAUGACAGAAUAAAACACAGUCGUUAUCAAUUAAUGUAUCUAACCAAUCUAACGCGAGGUGAAUCCAAAUUUCUCCAAUAUGAGAAACUCAUUCUAUUUAACAAAUAAAGUCGCAUGUAUUAAUUUAAUAUGCAAAAACAAAAUGAAUAUAGAGGAUUUCUCUCAGCACUUGACAAACUAUCCCGUUGUUACCAAGCCUUUACAAGGUACAUUUCAAGGACACUACAAAAUGGCAUUUGAAGAGGAAUAAUUCUAUAAAUAUAAAGUGGAAUUGAUGCAGAACAUUAUCAUAAUUUAUACACCACAAUAAAUAGCAGUAACUUAUUCUAUAACCAU
Arachis ipaensis is the source of this 3632-nucleotide long non-coding RNA. RefSeq lists it as uncharacterized. NCBI's taxonomy places the organism in Eukaryota, Viridiplantae, Streptophyta, Magnoliopsida, Fabales, Fabaceae. The record is from RefSeq and is a predicted model, not a curated record.